GUCCCAAUUAAGCUAAUAAAGAGUGCUUAUUCUGAUUCAUGGGAAACCAAAAUUAAACUCAAAUGGAAGUUUCGCUGAGAAACCCAUUUAACUCAUCCAUAUAUAU
Cynara cardunculus var. scolymus (artichoke) is the source of this 106-nucleotide small nucleolar RNA. The record is from RefSeq and is a predicted model, not a curated record. NCBI's taxonomy places the organism in Eukaryota, Viridiplantae, Streptophyta, Magnoliopsida, Asterales, Asteraceae.